RNAcentral lists this ribosomal RNA (253 nucleotides) under uncultured bacterium. Its description in RNAcentral is "partial 16S ribosomal RNA". It matches the Rfam family "Bacterial small subunit ribosomal RNA", at positions 524 to 776 of the family's 1533-position model. The record is from RNAcentral.
UACGGAGGGGGCGAGCGUUAUUCGGAAUUAUUGGGCGUAAAGGGCGCGUAGGCGGCUUGUCAAGUCAAAGGUGAAAUCCCUCGGCUCAACUGAGGAACUGCCUUUGAAACUAGCGAGCUUGAGGCCGGGAGGGGGCAGCGGAAUUCCCAGUGUAGCGGUGAAAUGCGUAGAUACUGGGAGGAACACCAGUGGCGAAGGCGGCUACCUGGACCGGUUCUGACGCUGAGGCGCGAAAGCGUGGGUAGCAAACAGG